Physella acuta is the source of this 210-nucleotide long non-coding RNA. RefSeq lists it as uncharacterized. Lineage: Eukaryota; Metazoa; Mollusca; Gastropoda; Physidae. The record is from RefSeq and is a predicted model, not a curated record.
CAGACGACUUUCCCCCCUUCCAUCACAAAAUCAACACAAAAGACAUUAAAGACGACUACAUAAAUGCUACAGAGGGCUACAAAGAUGAAGAUAAAUUUAUCGCAUUACAAGGCCCAAAUGAAUCAAGCGUCAUCGACUUUGUUCGAAUGUUGUGGGAACAAAAAGUUGAUAAAGUUAUAAUGUUGGAUAAUCGGAUAGAGGAAAGGAAGG